GGUGUUGAUUGCGGUGAGGGUCCACCCGUUCCCAUUCCGAACACGGAAGUUAAGCUCACUUGCGCCGAAAAUACUUGGCGGGCAGCUGCCUGGGAAGAUAGGUAGAUGCC
This 110-nucleotide ribosomal RNA is filed under the name pig gut metagenome. The record is from RNAcentral.